Long non-coding RNA from Musa acuminata AAA Group (dessert banana), 1474 nucleotides. RefSeq lists it as uncharacterized. Lineage: Eukaryota; Viridiplantae; Streptophyta; Magnoliopsida; Zingiberales; Musaceae. The record is from RefSeq and is a predicted model, not a curated record. The transcript has 2 exons.
UGGAGCUCUGAUUCAUAUGAGUUCUAAAGUCAUUCCAAAGCAUAAACCAGCAAACAGUGCAGAGAAAGCAACAAGUAAAAGCUGAAGUUGAUACUAAUUAGCUUAGCACAUGUCGAUCACUACCAUGUUCUGAUCAUCGAUCUCUUAGGAAUUGAAAGGGAGAGCUAUCAAGCAUAAGGAUGGAAUUAGAGCUUACUAUAUGCCUUGCCACCAACAGAAAAACCAGGAAUGAGAGUCCCAUCACUACCGUUUGCCAAGCCCACUGCUCAAAACAAGAAGAGAGAUAAAGAUCAGCUGACUGCAUCACUGGAAUGAUCCCCAUCUUGGUGGUGAAGUGAACUAUGCCAAGCAGUCCUUUAAGCUGCUGAAGUGAUACGAUGAUCGCUGCACCUCCCAUGAAUCCGGUCAACGUCGGUUUUGAUAGAAAGUCCACUAUGAAACCCAACCUAUAAGCACCGGGCAUCACUUGUGAGAUCAAGAUUUACUCGAAACAAAAUUCUAUAUAGUGUUCUUGUGGCGCGAGCAUUGUAUACCUCAGAAGACCCAAGCUGGCUUCGAAAACACCAGCAAAGAAAGUAGCUGUGAAAGCUAGUUGAAGAUACAAGAUAGGCUCUUUGUCAGGAGAGACCACCUCUCUCAGCAUGGAUCCCAUCACUAGAGAUGCAAUGGAUACCGGGCCAACAGCGAGAUCUCUUGAGCUCCCAAGAACAGAAUAGAUCAAGGGUGGCACAAAGCUGGAAUCUGUUGCAUCCGAUCCAGUAUAACAAGAUCAAUAACAUUCAUUGGUGUUCAUCCUGGUGUUCUUAUGAGCUAGUUUCAGUAGAUGGUUUGGACUUACAGAGGCCAAUAAUGGGAGGCAAACCUGCAAGCUUAGCGUAGCUUAUUCCCUGUUACAGAGAACAGAGAGGACAGUAAGUCUUUCUACACAGGCACAGGUAAUUUAGCAACGGUAAAGCUUCUCAUACUUGUGGGAUGGCCAAGCUAGCAAUGGUGACGCCUGAGAUGGCAUCAGACUUGAGGAGGCGAAGGCUGUAUUCAGAGCCCCACUGGAAGAUUGGGAAGAGAUACUGGAGAGCCAAGACCAGCUUCCGGAACAAAGACUUGUUCUUGAACUGGUGGAGGGGAUCAUCAGGGAAGAAGACCUCGGAAAGCCUCUGCUUGAGAGAUUGGAGGCUGGGGUUGUCUUGUGGUGCAGGGACCUUGUGGACCUCCAAAGGUUUCAAGCUCGGCGUGGGGAUGGGCAAGGAUGCUUCAAGUUCACUGGCAUAUGGGAAGCUCUCCACUCUGUUGGAGCUUCCCACCAUGUUUGAAGGGAAGAAGGAGAGCAAAUCAAGGACCAACACGGGAAUGCGACAAGGCACAUGAGCUUGGAGAAACAAGCAUGACAAAGGAGCUACUUAUAGAGUGGUGGAAGAACAAUGUGAUGAACCACCCUAUUUUCCCUUCAAUGAAUGAAGUCCUCAUGAUUUGCCAA